AAGUCGAACGGCAGCAGAGGAGAGCUUGCUCUCUGGGUGGCGAGUGGCGGACGGGUGAGGAAUACAUCGGAAUCUACCUUUUCGUGGGGGAUAACGUAGGGUAACUUACGCUAAUACCGCAUACGACCUACGGGUGAAAGUGGGGGAGCGCAAGGCCUCACGCGAAUAGAUGAGCCGAUGACCGAUUAGCUAGUUGGCGGGGUAAUGGCCCACCAAGGCGACGAUCGGUUGCUGGUCUGAGAGGAUGAUCAGCCACACUGGAACUGAGACACGGUCCAGACUCCUACGGGAGGCAGCAGUGGGCCGUAUUGGACAAUGGGCGCAAGGCUGAUCCAGCCAUACCGCGUGGGUGAAGAAGGCCUUCGGGUUGUAAAGCCCUUUUGUUGGGAAAGAAAUCCUAUCGGUUAAUAACCGGUGGGGAUGACGGUACCCAAAGAAUAAGCACCGGCUAUAUUCGUGCCAGCAGCCGCGGUAAUACGAAGGGUGCAAGCGUAACUCGGAAUUACAGGAUAUUGGAGAAUGGGGGGUAGCCUGAUCCA
This 539-nucleotide ribosomal RNA is filed under the name uncultured bacterium. Its description in RNAcentral is "bacterial SSU rRNA". It matches the Rfam family "Bacterial small subunit ribosomal RNA", at positions 59 to 583 of the family's 1533-position model. The record is from RNAcentral.